UAGCAACCAAGCUGGUCCUUGCCCAC
RNAcentral lists this non-coding RNA (26 nucleotides) under Homo sapiens (human). Lineage: Eukaryota; Metazoa; Chordata; Mammalia; Primates; Hominidae. The record is from RNAcentral.